UACGGAGGGUGCAAGCGUUAUCCGGAAUCAUUGGGUUUAAAGGGUCCGUAGGCGGAUUAAUAAGUCAGGGGUGAAAUCCCACAGCUUAACUGUGGAACUGCCUUUGAUACUGUUAGUCUUGAGUUAUAUGGAAGUAGAUAGAAUGUGUAGUGUAGCGGUGAAAUGCAUAGAUAUUACACAGAAUACCGAUUGCGAAGGCAGUCUACUACGUAUAUACUGACGCUAAUGGACGAAAGCGUGGGGAGCGAACAGG
This 253-nucleotide ribosomal RNA is filed under the name uncultured Flavobacteriaceae bacterium. RNAcentral's name for it is "partial 16S ribosomal RNA". It matches the Rfam family "Bacterial small subunit ribosomal RNA", at positions 524 to 776 of the family's 1533-position model. Lineage: Bacteria; Pseudomonadati; Bacteroidota; Flavobacteriia; Flavobacteriales; Flavobacteriaceae. The record is from RNAcentral.